AUACGAAAGGUGCAAGCGUUGUUCGGAUUUACUGGGCGUAAAGAGAGUGUAGGUUGUUUAUUAAGUCGGAUGUGAAAUCCCGGGGCUCAACCUCGGAACUGCAUUCGAUACUGGUAGACUAGAGUUCGGGAGGGGUAAGCGGAAUUCCGUGUGUAGCAGUGAAAUGCGUAGAUAUACGGAGGAACACCUGAGGCGAAGGCGGCUUACUGGACCGAUACUGACACUGAGACUCGAAAGCGUGGGGAGCAAACAGGAGUAGAAACCCGAGUAGUCC
RNAcentral lists this ribosomal RNA (274 nucleotides) under uncultured bacterium. RNAcentral describes it as "partial 16S ribosomal RNA". It matches the Rfam family "Bacterial small subunit ribosomal RNA", at positions 523 to 796 of the family's 1533-position model. The record is from RNAcentral.